UAUUUAUUAGAUAACAGACCAAUAUUCCUCGUGUCUAUUGUGGUGACUCAUAGUAACUGAUCGGAUCGCAUGGCCUUGUGCCGCGACUAACCAUUCAAGUUUCUGACCCAUCAGCUUUCGAUGGUAGUGUAUUGGACUACCAUGGCUUUCACGGGUAACGGAGGAUUAGGGUUCGAUUCCGGAGAGGGAGCCUGAGAAACGGCUACCACAUCUAAGGAAGGCAGCAGGCGCGUAAAUUACCCAAUCCUGACUCAAGGAGGUAGUGACAAGAAAUAACGGGUCGGGGCAUUCGCCUCGGGAUUGCAAUGAAUCGAAUUUACACCCCUUAAUGAGGAUCAAUUGGAGGGCAAGUCUGGUGCCAGCAGCCGCGGUAAUUCCAGCUCCAAUAGCGUAUAUUAAAGUUGUUGCAGUUAAAAAGCUCGUAGUUUGAUUUCUGGACGGGCGCCAACACCCACUUGUUUAGUGUGGAGGCGGCGCCCGCCCAUCCUUCUGUUAACGCCACCGGCAUUCAUUUGCUGGCGGCGGGCUCAGAUAUUUUACCUUGAGAAAAUUAGAGUGUUUCAGGCAGGCUUGCGC
Molecule: ribosomal RNA, 576 nt
Filed under: uncultured eukaryote
Lineage: Eukaryota
Description: SSU rRNA
Rfam family: Eukaryotic small subunit ribosomal RNA
Source: RNAcentral